RNAcentral lists this ribosomal RNA (321 nucleotides) under Mesorhizobium sp. RNAcentral describes it as "bacterial SSU rRNA". It matches the Rfam family "Bacterial small subunit ribosomal RNA", at positions 1073 to 1400 of the family's 1533-position model. The record is from RNAcentral. Lineage: Bacteria; Pseudomonadati; Pseudomonadota; Alphaproteobacteria; Hyphomicrobiales; Phyllobacteriaceae.
UGUUGGGUUAAGUCCCGCAACGAGCGCAACCCUUGUCAUUAGUUGCUACGAAAGGGCACUCUAAUGAGACUGCCGGUGACAAACCGGAGGAAGGUGGGGAUGACGUCAAGUCCUCAUGGCCCUUAUGGGUAGGGCUUCACACGUCAUACAAUGGUACAUACAGAGGGCCGCCAACCCGCGAGGGGGAGCUAAUCCCAGAAAGUGUAUCGUAGUCCGGAUUGUAGUCUGCAACUCGACUGCGUGAAGUCGGAAUCGCUAGUAAUCGCGGAUCAGCAUGCCGCGGUGAAUACGUUCCCGGGUCUUGUACACACCGCCCGUCAC